GACGAACGCUGGCGGCGUGCUUAACACAUGCAAGUCGAACGGAAAGGCCUCUUUCGGGGGGUACUCGAGUGGCGAACGGGUGAGUAACACGUGAGUAACCUGCCCUCGACUUUGGGAUAACUUCAGGAAACUGGGGCUAAUACCGGAUAGGAGCUCCUGCUGCAUGGUGGGGGUUGGAAAGUUUCGGCGGUUGGGGGUGGACUCGCGGCUUAUCAGCUUGUUGGUGGGGUAGUGGCUUACCAAGGCUUUGACGGGUAGCCGGCCUGAGAGGGUGACCGGCCACAUUGGGACUGAGGUACGGCCCAGACUCCUACGGGAGGCAGCAGUGGGGAAUAUUGCACAAUGGGUGGAAGCCUGAUGCAGCAACGCCGUGUGCGGGAUGACGGCCUUCGGGUUGUAAACCGCUUUCGCUCAUGACGAAGCUUUGUGUGACGGUAGUGGGUAAAGAAGCACCGGCUAACUACGUG
RNAcentral lists this ribosomal RNA (467 nucleotides) under uncultured bacterium. RNAcentral's name for it is "partial 16S ribosomal RNA". It matches the Rfam family "Bacterial small subunit ribosomal RNA", at positions 28 to 507 of the family's 1533-position model. The record is from RNAcentral.